UACGUAGGGUGCAAGCGUUGUCCGGAAUUAUUGGGCGUAAAGAGCUCGUAGGCGGUUUGUCGCGUCUGCUGUGAAAACCCGAGGCUCAACCUCGGGCCUGCAGUGGGUACGGGCAGACUAGAGUGCGGUAGGGGAGAUUGGAAUUCCUGGUGUAGCGGUGGAAUGCGUAGAUAUAGGAAGGAACACCAGUGGCGAAGGCGACACUCUGGCUUGACACUGGCGCUGAGGUACGAAAGCGUGGGGAGCAAACAGGG
RNAcentral lists this ribosomal RNA (254 nucleotides) under uncultured bacterium. RNAcentral describes it as "partial 16S ribosomal RNA". It matches the Rfam family "Bacterial small subunit ribosomal RNA", at positions 524 to 777 of the family's 1533-position model. The record is from RNAcentral.